RNAcentral lists this ribosomal RNA (403 nucleotides) under uncultured bacterium. RNAcentral's name for it is "partial 16S ribosomal RNA". It matches the Rfam family "Bacterial small subunit ribosomal RNA", at positions 28 to 526 of the family's 1533-position model. The record is from RNAcentral.
GACGAACGCUGGCGGCGUGCCUAAUACAUGCAAGUCGAACGCAGUGGGGCCGGGUGAGUAACACGUGGGUAACCUCCCAUCAGAGGGGAUAACACUUGGACACAGGUGCUAAACCGAUACUGAUGGAUGGACCCGCGGUGCAUUAGCUAUUGGGUGAGGUAACGGCUCACCAAGGCCACGAUGUAUAUCCGACCAGAGAGUGUGAUCGGCCACACUGGGACUGAGACACGGCCCAGACUCCUACGGGAGGCAGCAGUAGUGAAUCUACGGCAAUGGACGAAAGUCUGACCGAUCAACGCCGCGUGAGUGAAGAAGGUUUUCGGAGCAUAAAACUCUGUUGUUAUAGAAGCGGUAUCUAACCAGAAAGCAACGGCUAACUACGUGCCAGCAGCCGCGGUAAUAC